GACGAACGCUGGCGGCGUGCUUAACACAUGCAAGUCGAGCGGUAAGGCCCUUUCGGGGUACACGAGCGGCGAACGGGUGAGUAACACGUGGGUGACCUGCCCUCAGCUCUGGGAUAAGCCUGGGAAACCGGGUCUAAUACCGGAUAUGACUCCAUGACGCAUGUUGUGGGGUGGAAAGCCUUGUGCGGCUGAGGAUGGGCCCGCGGCCUAUCAGCUUGUUGGUGGGGUGAUGGCCUACCAAGGCGACGACGGGUAGCCGGCCUGAGAGGGCGACCGGCCACACUGGGACUGAGACACGGCCCAGACUCCUACGGGAGGCAGCAGUGGGGAAUCUUGCGCAAUGGGCGAAAGCCUGA
Molecule: ribosomal RNA, 356 nt
Filed under: uncultured bacterium
Lineage: Bacteria
Description: bacterial SSU rRNA
Rfam family: Bacterial small subunit ribosomal RNA
Source: RNAcentral